Long non-coding RNA from Cucurbita maxima (winter squash), 395 nucleotides. RefSeq lists it as uncharacterized. NCBI's taxonomy places the organism in Eukaryota, Viridiplantae, Streptophyta, Magnoliopsida, Cucurbitales, Cucurbitaceae. The transcript is spliced from 2 exons. The record is from RefSeq and is a predicted model, not a curated record.
UCUCCUCUCGAUAUCGGGUCUUGCCCUAUUGUCGAGUUGUCAAAUCGAGACUUAUCUCUUGGUAUUAGCUACUGCAACCAACACGCUCUAUCUAGAGAGUCGUUCGUGAUUUCCUUCUUGAACAGGCAGCUAAGAGGUCUUGUUUGAGUGGGUAGAAGAAGGCAGGGUGGCUAAGAGGUGUUGCUCGAGUGUUGAAAGAACGAAACUCCUACUCUUUGCAGGGUAUAUGAUCAACAAGUCGGACAAACCCGACCGCAAAGCCAUCAACUCUUCUGGGUUAGCCUUUUCUUUUUCUUUUCCACUCAGUGCUGGUGAUAGAAAAAGGAAGGAGGUCAGCUUAUUCUCCUUUAUGCAAUGGAAUCUACUUUUUUAUAUUUUUAUUUCAUUCUUUGAAA